Molecule: ribosomal RNA, 253 nt
Filed under: uncultured bacterium
Lineage: Bacteria
Description: partial 16S ribosomal RNA
Rfam family: Bacterial small subunit ribosomal RNA
Source: RNAcentral
GACAGAGGCCUCAAGCGUUAGGCGGAAUCACUGGGCUUAAAGCGUGUGUAGGCGGGUCGUUAAGUACCUUGUGAAAUCCCACGGCUCACCCGUGGAACUGCUGGGUAUACUGGCGAUCUUGGGCCAUUCAGGGGCAACUGGAACAAGCGGUGGAGCGGUGAAAUGCGUAGAGAUCGGGAGGAACAUCAGUUGCGAAGGCGGCUCUCUGGACCAGCACUGACACUGAGGCACGAAAGCGUGGGGAGCAAACAGG